RNAcentral lists this long non-coding RNA (16090 nucleotides) under Gossypium barbadense (sea-island cotton). RNAcentral's name for it is "long non-coding RNA (GBAR_LNC005803)". Lineage: Eukaryota; Viridiplantae; Streptophyta; Magnoliopsida; Malvales; Malvaceae. The record is from RNAcentral.
GGGAUUAAAAGCGCAAUUAUCCCAAGUUUCUGAACGCAACAUGUAAUAACCCAAAUUUGAUCGGGCCUUGAAACCCAAAACCAAAAUUAAAUAAUAAUAAAUAAAUGUUUAUUUGUUAAACAGUCCCUUUACAGCCUAAAAGUUAAAACCUACACUCGGUAGCCCAAAUACCCUUUAAACUAUCCCUUAACCCGUUACACCCUUGACCCAUUACAAUUGCAACCUUAGCCCAAAUAUACCCGAAGCCCAGACCUAAACUGGACCCGAAUAACAGAGGCCCAAAAAAACCCAAAAUAUUCAGCUAGGGUUUUCAACCCUAGCUCUUUCCCCUCGCGCCGCAACAGUUUCUGGAAGCUUCGGGGAGCGUCGGUGCAACUCCCAAGAUCGAGGCCAUCAAUGCAUACUGACGCGCCAUCAAUGCGUCUGUUCCUCUCGUGACCGUCCAGCACCGCGAUCUCAGGCCUCCCCUCUAGCCUUGGUACCACCGUUAACGCCGAGAUCAUUAGGAUACCUGCAAGAAAAGGAAACACAGCAGAUACGAAGAACAAGAAAAAGAAACUAAAAGAAUUUUAGCAGAUCGCGGUCAAAGACACAAAACAUAGAAAGAAAUCGAAGAUUUCUUUCCUAUUUUUUUUGUAAUAAACAACGGCUAUAAAAAGCCUUUGUAACCCUUGUAAGAGGGGGAUACGGAAAUAAAAAAAAAGGAUACAAACAGUUUCAAAGGUGAUUCUUGUUUUUAUAUUUUUGCCUUUCAUUUCUCUAUUUUCAGUAUAGAAGCAUAUGAAUAUUUAUAUAUAUAUGUACACAAAAAUAACUUAAAAAUAAAAGAAAAGGGUUACCUGACGGAUGGCACGAAAAAGGAGAGGUUUUUCGAACCCUGGCUACCGUAUACGGUGGUCCUAGGGCGGCGUGUGGGCGCGUGGGCGAAGUGUGACCAACGGAGGCCAAAGCCCAGAGCUCCCUUCCUCUCUCUUUCUUUCAGAGAGAUUUUUUUUAGUUUUUUUCUAAAACGGGUUUCAAACGAACUAAAUGUUGAGGAAUUGGCUUUUAUAGCCUAGACAAAACGGCAUCGUUUGUGACCCCAAGGAUCCGCGCGUUGACCCGAUUGCCCGGGUAGGAUCCGCGCUUUUUUGCAAAAUGGGUUAAUUUCCCAAUCGGUCCUUCUACCCCUUUAGAGUUUACGAUUAAACUCUUUUUUUAUUUAUGAUUCGGCCCUAUUAUUUAUUUUAGUUUUAAUUUGGUCCUGACAGUAGUUAAAUUUUAUUCUGGGAAAUGUCGCCGUUUUGGGAAUAGGGCAAUUUGCCCAGUGAGUCCCUCUAAUUUUGCGCGCGUUUUAAAUAGGUCCUUAAUUAGUUUUAUUCCUUUCAAAAUUUGCCCCAUAAUUUUGUUAAACUUUAAAUUUAGUCCUAUAUUUAUUAUAUUAUUCUAUAUAUAUAUUUUAUUAUUUGUUUUAUUUUAAUUUUACUUUUAUAUUAUAUAUUAUAAAAUUAUUUUAUUUUAAGUAUUAUUUUUAGUUAUAUAUUAUUACUACUUAUUAUGUAUUAUUUUUCUUAAAUAUUAUUUUACAUCUCUUUUAUAUAUUAUUAUAUUUUCACAUAUAUUAUAUUUAUUAAUUAUUUAUAUAUAUAUUGUUUUAUGUGUUACUUUAUAUUAUAUCUAUUAUUUUUCUUAUAUGUUUAUAUUACAUUUUAUUAUAUAAUCUUUAUUAUGUUUCAUUUUUAUAUUACUUUUUUUAUAUAAAUGUUAUGUAUAUCAUGUAUCGCAAAUUAUAUUAUUUAUGUUUAUAUUAUAUAUUUAUUAUUUUAAAAAUGUAAAUUAUUAUUAUUAAAUCAUUUUUUUACUCACAUUAUACACACAUUUCAUUUUUUAUUUAUUUACUAUAUAUGAAUUAUUUCAUUUUAAACUAAUAUUGUUAUAUUAUGAAAUCUCUUACAUACUCUCAAACUAAUAUAUUAUUAUAUAAUUAUUAUUCUUUUUAUUAUGUUAUUAUAUUAUAUAUUAGAUACUAUUUUUAAAAUGGAAAUGAAAUAUCUCGUUUUUUAAUUGUAUGCAAUCAAUCAUUUUUUAUUAGUUCUUCUAUAUGUUUUGUAUUGUAUAUAUAAUGCAUGUGUUAAAUUUUUUUUAUAAUUAUAUGCAUAUUGACAUUACAUUUAUUCUAUUUGUAUAUCAUGCGUUAUUUGAUUAUGUUUGUUUUUAUAUCAUGCAUCAUUUAAAUAAUAUCUCAUAUGGUUAUAUAUCUUGUUUAUUCAUGCUAUAUAUCUUUGUUUGCAUUUUUGUGCUUUAUAUGUAUUAUUCUUUAUAUCGUAGUAUUCAUUUUUUAUUAUUUACCUAGUAUAAUAAUAUAUUAUUAUGAUUUAUAAUGCAAUACAAUUCUCCACGCAUCAUCUUUAAAAAGACAAGUCUCCAAAAUUUUCAAAAAAAUAUAAAGGCAAUACUUGGUGUUUGGAAAUUUCGAAAAAGUAGUCCCUAACUUAUUGGGUUGCAACCUUUCUCGUUAAGUUCGAAUAGUCAAGUACCCUUCUAAAGUUUUUGAAGGAUUUCAAAAUAUAAGUGACUGUCUUGGAAUUGCAAAGUGAUAUGUCCUAACUUACUCGAUGUAGCAUUUUGCUGUUUUGAAAUAGAGAUUUCUAAAGGCUAACCUAUAGUCGAUACUUUGAUACAAGUAAACCCAAAUUUUCAAAUACUUUAAAGAGGAUUACAUCUUAAAAUUUUUAAAUUUCCGACAUUAAAGACAUUUGAUAAUCAAUUAGGUACCAAUUUUUGGGCGUUACAAGGGUGCUAAUCCUUCCUCAUACGUAACCGACUCCUGAACCCAUUCUUUUAUUUCGUGGACCAAAACUAAUGAUUUUAAAACAAAAUGUUUUAAAGGUGAUCCAAUCACACCUAAAAAGAUUGGUGGCGACUCCCAUUUUCGUUUUUUUAAAAUCGAUUCUCAUUUUCCAAAACUCGAUUUGAAAAUGGUUUCGACAGCUUGGCGACUCCACUGGGGACUAAUAAGAGAGUCAAGCCAUGUAAUUGAUUAUCUCUUGUCUUAAUGUCGGAAAUUAAAAAUUUUAAAAUUUAAUCUUCUUUGCAUUACAUGUGUUUGUGUUCUUGCAUGUGUUGCUAUAUUCUAAUACGCAUUGCAUUUGCAUGACCGUUGUGGUCACACCCUUAAGUGGGAGUGAGAAGCUACGCCUUCGUGAGGUUUUCGCCUCCGUGCAGGAUAGUGGAUCACUUUCGGGAUACAUCCGUACCUAUGGUUUCGUGAGAUUUUCAUCUUCGUGUAGCCAUAGGGAAAUGUAUUCCCCUGAACUGAACUCGAUUCAAAUGAACCUAUAAUGGGUGAGGAUCGAGGAAUCUGCUGGUUCGGGAACCUCAAACUUUAGAACCAACCUCAUAUAGAAAAAACUGUAAGAGCCCAACUUAGUUAGAGUUAAACUUUAGAUAUUACCCUUAUAAAUUAUUGUUGAGAUUUAUUGAUAUCAUGUGAUACUGACUAUUUCUUUUCUUUUGUUUGCAUGACAUUUUGCAUUUACAAAGGUAUCGAUUCACGGUCAGUUUCUAAGUUAGAGAGUUUUAUUAUGGAGAACGGACUUCUUGAUAGAGUGGAGGGCAAUGCCAACGUCCAUAGAUGGUCUGAGCAAACUCAGUUAGAAAAGGGAGAUAGUAUAGCUGCGGGAUAUAUGUCGGAGCUGUCAGGAUAUACUCGCAUCGGUGUCACGCAGAAUAAUCUCCAAGAGCUUAAAGAGAUUUGGGAUCAAUGGGGCAACGAGACUAAACAGUUAUUCUACGGUAAUUACGGAGAUUUACCUUACUUGCUCGAUGUUCAAACAGAUGAGCACUUGUUCCGAGCCCUCGCUCAGUUUUGGAAUCUAUGGUACAGUUGCUUUACUUUUGGGGAGGUAGACUUGGUACCUACCGUAGAGGAAUACACUGCCUUGUUACGUUGUCCCAGGUUCCAGGUUGAUAGAAUCUAUUCUCGAGCUGUUAAUGUCCCUACCUUUUGGAAGAAAUUGAUGACUAUUACAGGGAUGAGUGAGCAAUGGAUUACUGCCAGAAUUAAAGAGAAGGGAGAGUGCAAGUGCAUUUCAUGGGAUGCUUUGAAGGAUCUGAUUUUGAUACACCCUGAUGAAACAAAAAGGGUGGAUGUUUUUGCCUUAAGUUUGUACGGAUUGAUGGUGUUCUCUAGGGCUUUGGGAUAUGUGGAUGAGGCAACCACGGAUCUUUUCCAUAGACUCAGUAAGAGGGUCACCUCUGUCCCUGCAAUAUUGGCAGAGACAUUCAGAUCCUUAGGCGCAUGUAGAAAAGCUGGCGCAGGCAGGUUUGUUGGUUGUGCACAAUUACUUUUAGCUUGGUUCUAUAGUCAGUUUCGGUUGAUAGAUAAUGUCAUUUGUCGGGUUUUCUUCGAGGAUUACUCACCGCUGAAGGACAUAGUCGCUUCAAUUAGGAGAGUUGAUGUUCCAGAAGAGAAUUGGAUUGCACUACUUCAAAAUCUUCAGUCGAAAGAUGUUGAGUGGAGAGCUCCGUAGAUGAUUCCUGGUGAGGUUCUUUACCGUUGCGGCAAUUUCAAUUGGGUCCCUUAAUUGGGAAUUUGGGGUGCCAUUGGUUAUGCUCCCUUGUUCGUGUUAAGGCAAUUCAGUUUGAGGCAGUUCGUGCCAGCAACUCAUGGGCUAACUCAAAGUGAGUUUGCAUAUAGAGGAGCCGAUUACAAGAAAAGGGUCGGUGAGAUCUCUAGCGCUUGGAAUAAGACGUGCCGGUUGAAAGGAGUAGCUAUUGGCCCUGCUACGACUCCAGAAUAUGUUGAAUGGAGAGGUAGAAUGAUCAAUGAUAACAUUCCUGAGCCAAAUAUAGAAGGAGCUCGACCGAUGGAGGAAUAUCUGCAAGUGAUGCCCUCGGAGUUAGAAAUUAUGAAGCAAGAAUUUGAGAGGAAAAAUCUGGAGCUCGAGAAAAGGAUAGCAAAGCUUGAAGAAGAAAAGAUGUACUUGAGUUUAGAUAUUGAUGUCCAGAAGAUGGAGGUCGAAAAAGAAAGAAAGGAAAAGAGGAAGAUUGAGGAGGAUAGAGAUGACUUGAAGGAACACUACAAAAAGGCACAGGUAUCCUUGAGAAGAGCGAAAGUAGGAGGAUCUUCAGAUCAGUUGCAGAAAGAGGUCCAAGAAGGCAAGGCUAGAGCUGAGCACUGGGAGAAGAGGUUUCAGGAGAUGCAAUCGCGGAAUUUGGCAUUAGAAGAAAAGAAUAAAGGGUUGAAGUCUAAAGUAACUGAGCUUGGAAGAUCCCUUCGUUGGCAUCGCAACCAUGAUUCUACGGUCGAGUUAAAGGAGCUAAAGAGUAAAGUUGAAGAUUUGGAAGCAGCAUUGCAGGAAGGUAAACUUCAGAUCGAGCAACUCGAGGCGUAAGGAGACUAUCUAAAGAGAGAGCUUCAUCAGUCUAGAGGGCAGAUUAGAGAAAGAGAUCAUGUCAUGGAAUAAGCCAUAGCUCAGAUUCGAGAGGUUGCUGAAUAUGUGCAAGACUUGGCUGUACGAGCCGACGUAUUGAGUAUGAUGUGUGGGUCGUCGUCAGACAUAGGAAGAGAGUUAGCCCUUUUAUUAGAUAGAGUUAAAACUUUGGGCAUUAUGGCGAAAGCAUACUUGUAAUCCAUUUAUAUGUAAAGAUAUUCUUUUUCUAAAUAAAGUUUUCUAAAUGAGAUUGAAUCGAGAUUGAUGCCUUUGCUGCAUUCAUACAUUUGCAUUAAAUCAUAUCAUAUGCAUUUAAGGUUAUAGAAAGACUCUAAUUAGUUAAAGUUUCUUUAUAAAGGUAGAAAAGAAAACUAGAAAUUACACAUCCUUACGGCACUCGCACUAAAACUAAGAACAUGGAUCAAAGGUUUGAACAGUUGCAAAAGGAUAUGCAAGACCAGUUACAAGAGCAGUUGGCUAAGAUGCAGAAUGAGAUGAGGGAACAAAUGAUGGAAGCUCAGAGGAAUAUAAUGGCCGAAAUGGCUCAGUUACUGAGGGCCACUGAUAAAGGAAAGGCUCCUAUGGCCAUCACUGAAGAGGAAAAUGAGGGUCCUCCUCCAGGUUUUACACCACCGCAUGUAUCAUUGCAAACUGAGGCACCUCCUAGAAGGCCAUCUACUACUGUGAGGCCUCAGCAUGGACCAAUUGAUGCUGGUGUCCAUGUGAAUUUCCCGAUUGGUUCAGGACUUAAUAUGGGUGACAAUCUUACUAAUCCUCUUGUUCCCGAUCUAUAUAUGGUGGAAAAAGAGGAUUUGAAGGUCGAAGUUGCAAGGCAAUUGGAUGAACACUGCAGAUGGUUAGAAGAAAAGUUCAAGGCCUUGGAAGGCACUGGCAACAAUCAUGGGGUUGAUGCCAAGGACUUAAGUCUGGUCCCAAACCUAGUAUUACCUCACAAAUUCAAAAUGCCAGAAUUUGAAAAGUACAAUGGCACUACUUGCCCAGAGGCCCACAUCACAAUGUUUUGUAGAAGGAUGACGGGGUAUGUAAACAAUGAUCAGCUGUUGAUCCAUUGUUUUCAGGAUAAUUUGAUAGGAGCGGCAGCCAGAUGGUACAAUCAGUUGAGCCGGGCUAGAAUAAGUUCAUGGAGGGAUCUUGCACAAGCCUUCAUGCAACAGUACAAUCAUGUAACAUAUAUGACCCCUGACAGGAUUACCCUGCAAAACAUGGAGAAAAAGCCUAAUGAGAAUUUUAGGCAAUAUGCACAGAGGUGGAGGGAGGUAGCAAUGCAGGUUCAACCACUACUGUUGGAGAAGGAGACCACUAUGUUAUUUAUUAAUACUCUGAAAGCCCCAUUUAUUACUCAUAUGAUUGGAAGCACUACUAAAAGUUUUGCGGACAUAGUUAUGGCAGGAGAGAUGAUAGAGAAUACCAUAAGAGGAGGAAAAAUUGAGGGGGAAGUAGUCAAAAGAUCAGCCCCAAGAAGAAAAAACAAUGAGGUAAACAAUACAAGUGGUUUUAAUUCAAAAGCAGUCACAGUUAGCCAGCCCAAAGUAGCCACAGUUAGGCAACAAGACUCUCAAAAGCAGGAAUCCAACACUAAGCAUGAGAGGAUGCAAUUUACACCUAUACCUGUGACAUAUAGGGAGCUCUAUCAGAAUCUAUAUGAUGCGCAUGCUAUAGCCCCUUUCCACUUAAAACCAUUACAACCUCUGUAUCCUAAAUGGUAUGAUGCAAAUGCCAGAUGUGAGUAUCAUGCUGGAAUAUCGGGGCACUCAAUCGAGAAUUGUACUGGAUUCAAGAAAGCUGUAAAGAGGUUGAUCAAUAAUGGGGUUUUGAAAUUUAAGAGUACCCAAAAUACUGAGAAUUCUUUGCCGAACCAUGACAAUCAGGGAGUAAAUGCCAUUGGUGAAGCCGCUGAAAAAAGGGAAAAGGAAAAUGUUGAUGAGAUAAGGAUGCCUAUGAGGGUAAUCUGGGAGGAGAUGAUGAAGAGAGGUAUGUUAACCUCUAAAAAUACGAAAGAAAGAACGUGGGAUUACGGUGAGUUCCAUGAAGAUUGCGAGGAAUUCAAGACCUUGGUGCAAGGCUUCAUAGACAACAAAGAGCUACAGGUUUAUGAAGGUAGCUCUAGUGAAAAGCAAGUUUGUGUGCUGGAAAAUGAACAGCAAAGAACCGGUAGACCAAUGAUCAUUAUCUCCCUACCAGGGAAUAAUGAAAUGGGGACACCAGCAGCGCCCAAGGUUAUUAUCCAUACACCUACUCCUUUCCCUUACAAGGAUAGCAAAAAAGUACCAUUGAGUUAUGACUGUAGCGUGACGGUGCCGGGAGAAGGAAGCAUAGCCAGUGCAUCUAAGGAUGUAUGAGAUGAAGGUUCCCAUACGCGGAGUGGAAAGCGUUAUGAUAUGGGGGACGUCAGAGUGGAGCCCACAAAACCCAAGAAUGUUGAAAUUGAGAAAAAGAGUGAAGUAUCUGUUAAUGAGCCAGUAAGGGAAGAGAAAACUAAGGAAUUUCUAAAGUUCCUUAAGCAUAGUGAGUACAGUGUGGUCGAGCAGUUGCGUAAGCAACCAGCACGCAUAUCGGUUUUAGCCUUACUACUAAGCUCUGAAGUGCAUCGAGAAGCAUUGUUGAAGGUACUCAAUGAGACAUAUGUUACUCAUGAUAUAUAUGUCAAUAAGUUGGAUAGGUUGAUAAAUAACAUCAAUGCUGAUAAUUUCAUCUACUUCAAUGAUGAUGAAAUUCCACCUGGGGGCAUAGGGUCAACUAAGGCUUUGCACAUCACCACUCGUUGUAAAAGAUACACGCUUCUAAGUAUACUCGUUGAUAAUGGGUCCGCUUUGAACGUCCUUCCAUUAUCCAUAUUAAACAGAUUACCCAUUGACAGUUCGCACAUGAAGACGUGUCAUAAUGUGGUAAGAGCCUUUGACGGAACUGAAAUGAAAGUAAUGGGACGAAUUGACAUCCCUCUAGAGAUUAGACCAAAUAUGUAUGAAGUUGACUUCCUGGUAAUGGAUAUCAAGCCCUCCUAUAAUUGUUUGUUGGGGAGGCCAUGGAUACACUCGGCAGGAGCGGUGCCUUCUUCACUGCACCAAAAAUUGAAGUUGGUGACGGAUGGACGCUUGAUAACCAUCAAUACAGAGGAGGACAUCAUAACAGCCGUCACUAGUAAGCCUCCUUAUGUGGAGACAGAUGAGGAGGCUAUUGAGUGUUCUUUUCGUUCCUUGGAAAUUGUUAAUGCUACCUUCAUUUCGGAGGGAAACGAGGUGCCGGUUCCCAGAAUGUCUAGAGCAACAAGGAUGGCCCUGCAAAUAAUGAUGGGGAAAGGAGCAUUGCCAGGAAAAGGACUAGGAAAAUAGUUGCAAGGAGGGAUUCAAGUCCCAAAAUUGACGGAGAAAAAGAAUCGCUUUGGUUUGGGUUUUAAGCCAGACCAUAAACAAAAGAGACAGGAGAUGGAAAAGCGUCAAGCAAGAAGGAAGGCGCGUUUGAACGGAUGAGAAGUAGAGUGGGAACUGAUGACAUUUCCACCUAUAUCCAAAACCUUUAAGUCAGGAGGGUUGCUAAUAGAAGAGAGUCAUCAAAUCAAUGUUGUACAUAGUAAGUGGUUUGGACAAGAAAACCUUGAGGGUAUUCACCCUUACGAAUCGGGGAGCUCUCUGAACAAUUGGACUGCGGAGGAUCUUCCUGUAGUCUUUAGAAAUUUUUCAGAGUAAUUCUCAAAACAUGUUUAUUACUCUAGGGCCUAGGAGUAGUAAGAUUACAUUUGCGAAAAUAGGCUUAUGUUCAUCUAUUAUUAUUCAAAUAAAACAUAACUUUUACCAAUUUAAAAGAGUAUUGUCUCAUUUUUAUCAACCAAUAUUCCUUUAAAUUCUAACAAUUCUUAUUCUUUUAUUUAUAGCACAUAAACGAUCAUUCUCAAAUUCAUUCAUUUUUUGUAUAUUCUUUCAUACCCCUCACUGGUCUCUAGAUAUCAAUGAUAUGAGCGCUACUACUGCCGCUCCUGAUUUCUCCUGUGAGCAAGACAUGUGUUUAGAGGAGUUUCAGGAUUUUGAAGAUGUUCAAGAUUGUGAUGUAUCUCUUGAUCUAUUAAGAAUGGUAAAACAAGAGGAGAAACAAAUCAUGCCACAUGAAAAAGAGGCAAUAGAGAAUAUAGCCUUAGAGGAAGGGAAGGAGGUAAAAAUUGGAACACUGAUCGCUAAUGACACAAGAUGUAGCUUGAUUGAGUUGCUUCAGGAAUUCAAGGAUAUUUUUGCAUGAUCUUAUCAGGAUAUGCCCGGAUUGAAUACUGACAUUGUAGAACAUCGUCUUCCGAUAAGACAAGAAUGUAGACCGGUCCAACAGAAGUUACGAAGAAUGCUGCCAGACAUUGUCCUGAAAAUAAAAGAUGAGGUCAAGAAGCAGUUUGAUGCAGGAUUUCUGCAAGAAGUGAAGUACUCUGAAUGGGUAGCUAAUAUUGUACCAGUCCCUAAGAAAGACGGGAAAGUACGAAUUUGCGUUGAUUACAGAGAUUUAAACAAAGCAAGCCCAAAGGAGAACUUUCCUCUGCCACACAUCGACAUUUUAGUAGACAACACAGCGGGAUAUUCCUUGUUCUCCUUCAUGGACGGCUUCUCAGGAUACAAUCAGAUAAAGAUGCAUCCAGAGGAUAUGGAUAAAACUACUUUUAUAACAUUGUGGGGCACCUUUUGUUAUAAAGUGAUGCCGUUUGGGUUGAAGAAUGCAAGGUCAACAUACCAACGAGCCAUGGUAAACUUGUUUCACGACAUGAUGCAUAAGGAUAUUGAGGUAUACGUUGACGAUAUGAUUGCCAAGUCGCGAACAGAAAAAGAACACAUUGAGGUCUUGAGAGGAUUGUUCUUAAGGUUGAGGAAAUUUCAGUUGAAGCUCAAUCCGGCAAAGUGCACUUUUGGAGCUAGAUCGGGGAAGUUAUUAGGCUUCGUAGUCAGUGAAAAGGGAAUUGAAGUUGACUCAGACAAGGUCAGAGCCAUACGGGAGUUGCCUCCACCACGUACUCAAAAAGAAGUUUGAGGAUUCCUAGGAAGGUUGAAUUACAUUGCUUGGUUCAUUUCACAAUUGACUGAGAAAUGUGAUCCUAUCUUUCGUCUCCUCAGAAAGCACAAUCAAGGUGCUUGGGAUGAAGAAUGCCAGAAUGCUUUCGAGAAAGUCAAGCAGUAUUUGUUGAAUGCUCCAGUGUUAUCUCCGCCUAGUCCAGAUAAACCGUUAAUACUAUACUUGUCAGUGUUCAGCAAUUCUAUGGGAUGUGUGAUGGGUCAGCAUGACGAGUCAGGGAAAAAGGAAAAGGUAAUUUAUUAUCUCAGUAAGAAAUUCACUGACUGUGAAAUGAGAUAUUCGCCAAUCGAAAAAUUGUGUUGUACAUUCAUUUGGACCACAGGGAGAUUAAGACAGUACAUGCUAUACCAUACUACUUGGCUCAUAUCAAAAUUAGAUCCAUUAAAAUACAUGAUGGAAUCAACGGCUCUAAAUGGUAGAAUGGCGAGAUGACAAAUUUUGCUUUCAGAGUUCGAUAUAGUCUAUGUAACUCAAAAGGCUAUCAAAGGAAGUGCGGUGGCAGACUUCUUGGCCAGUAGAGCUUUGGAGGAUUACGAGCCAUUGAAUUUUGAUUUUCCAAAUGAGGAGCUAAUGUGUAUAGCAGCAACUGAAUAUUCGCCAUGGAAGUUAAAUUUUGAUGGGGCUUCUAAUGCAGUCAGAAAUGGAAUUGGGGCAGUCUUGGUAUCCUCGAAUGGCGACCAUUACCCGUUCACGUGCAAGUUGGAUUUUGACUAUACAAAUAAUAUGGCUGAAUACGAAGCAUGCAUAUAGGGCUCCAAGCGGCCAUAGAAAGAGGCAUAAAAACCCUAGAAGUAUAUGGAGAUUCUGCGUUAGUAAUCUAUCAGCUAAGAGGUGAAUGGGAGACAAGAGACCCUAAGUUGAUCAAUUAUCGAAUGGUAGUUUUGGGGUUACUAAAGAGUUCGAUGACAUCACCUUCAACUAUCUCCCACGAGAUGAGAACCAGAUGGCAGAUGCUUUAGCGACCUUGGCUUCGAUGAUUAAGGCAAACAAAGAGGAAGAGAUGAGACCAAUUCAAAUGAGUGUCUAUGAAUUCCCAGCUAGCUGUUGUAACCUUGAAGAGGAAGAAAAGGGUGACAAUCCUUGGUAUCAAGAUAUAUAGCGAUAUGUAAGAGAUCGUAAAUAUCCAGCACAUGCAUCUAAAAAUGACAAACGAACCCUGAGAAGAUUAGCUUGUGACUAUGUUUUGGAUGGAGAUGUUCUGUACAAGAGAAGGAAAGACCAAGUACUUUUGAGAUGUGUUGAUGCUUUGGAAGCCAAGCUAAUUCUAGAAGAGUUCCAUGAGGGUGUAUGUGGUACGCAUGCAAAUGGGUUCACGAUGGCAAGACAAAUCAUGAGGUUUGGCUAUUACUGGACCACUAUGGAAGGAGACUGUAUCAAUUAUGCCAAAAAAUGCCAUAAAUGUCAGAUUUAUGGGGACAAAAUUCAUAUACCUCCCUCACCUUUACAUGUCAUGACGUCUCCAUGGCCAUUUUCCAUGUGGGGCAUGGACGUCAUUGGACCAAUAUCGCCGAAAGCUUCGAAUGGACAUCGGUUUAUUUUCGUAGUGAUUGACUACUUUACAAAAUGGGUAGAAGCUGCUUCUUACGCAAAUGUUACCAAGUCAGCUGUAAGUCGAUUCUUGAAGAAGGAAAUCAUUUGUCGGUAUAGAAUGCCUGAGAGGAUCAUAUCCGACAACGCAUUGAAUUUGAACAACAAAAUGAUAGCAGAGAUUUGCGACCAGUUCAAAAUCAAGCAUCACAACUCUUCACCCUAUCGUCCAAAGAUGAAUGGGGCAGUGGAGGCUGCCAAUAAGAACAUUAAGAAAAUAGUGGGAAAGAUGACUGAGACUUAUAGGGAUUGGCAUGAAAAGCUACCGUUUGCACUCUUGGCUUAUCGAACGUCUGUUAGAACUUUUACUGGAGCAACUCCGUUCUCGUUAGUUUACGGGAUGGAAGCAGUUUUACCUAUUGAAGUGAAAAUACCUUCUCUCCGAAUUUUAACAGAGAUAAGGUUAGAUGAAGCCGAAUGGGUUUAGUCUCGAUAUGACCAGCUAAACUUGAUUGAGGAAAAGAGGCUGAAGGCUAUCCAACAUGGUCAGAUGUACCAGAAGCGUAUGAUGCGAGCUUAUGAUAAAAAGGUUCGUCCAAGGGAAUUCCGUGAGGGGGACCUUGUGCUAAAGAAAAUCCUUCCCAUUCAGAAGGACUUUAGAGGAAAAUGGAUGCCAAAUUGGGAGGGGCCAUACGUCGUGAAGAAGGUUUUUUCUGGUGGUGCAUUGAUUUUGACAGAAAUGGAUGGAAAAAGCCUACCCAAUCCGGUGAAUUCAGACUCAGUCAAAAAGUACUUUGUCUAAAAGCGAAAAGAAUCCAAGGUGAAAACCCGCAAAGGGCGCCUUGAAAAAAAAAUGGAGAGGCCAAAGUGAAAACCCACAAAGGGCACCUUGUGACCAAAGGGAUUUUGAGUUGAAAACCCGAAAGGGCAGCUCAAAUUUUGAAGGGCAUACAGCAACCUUGCUAUAUUUGACUUGACAGAGAGUGAGGCACAGUGUACAUUGGGGCAUCAACAAAGUACUUUGGAUCUUUUAAAUACAUGUCGAACUCAAGAAAGGCUUUGGGGAACUAAUGUAUAGAUGCUCAAACGGUAAUAUUUAGAGCAUCUGAUGUUUAUCCUGUUCGCUAUCUUUAGAUUCUAUUUCUUCUUAAAGAUAUGCUAUCAUCCUUAUUUUCUUUGUACUGUUAACAAUUCGAAUCCAAUUAUUCUCAAAGAUUUACUCAUCUCCCGAUAUUUUUAAAGUAUGUUGCAUUGAAAUAUUGAUAGAUGAACUAAAAUAUUUUCACAAACGAAGUUUUGCACAUUACUUUGGAAUUUCUAGAUAAUACAAGAAACUAAAACAGGACAAUUGUUCGAGAAAUUCAUGUAAGUAAGGGAUGAAGGAACUCGAGGGAUUUCUUUCUUCCAGUCCAAAAAGAAAUGGAUGGUUCAAUUCUUACAGACAUCCUCAAUAGAUCAUAGCAUUGGAGGAAGGCCUACAAGCUGAGUAAGAAUAAAAUUUUGAGAAAGACAAAUGAAGGAAUGAAUGAUGACACCUGAGAUAGGGGUCAUAUUCACAGCACUUUGCAUCAUAACAUGUUUGAUUCAUUUCAAUCAUAGCAUACUUAGGCAUAGGUACAUACUCAUCUUACAGGUCAUGUCCUCUAGGGAACAAUGAAGAUCAAAGAUUUCAACAUGGCAUCCCUGUGCUUAUGGGAAAUAAAUUGAAGACAGCAGAUCUAGACUUCAGACAUUUAUGCUGAAGCAGAUCCAAGAUGAUUUGGUAUUCUUGUGUUUACAAGAAACAAAUCGAGGACAUAGCAGAUUUAACUCUCAGAUGUUCUCAAAUAUAGCAGAUCUAACUUUCAGAUGUUUAUACUGAAGCAGAUCCAAGAUGAUUUGAUAUUCUUGUGUUUACAAGGAACAAAUCGAGGACAUUGCAGAUAUGACUCUCAAAUGUUCUCCAACAGACUCAAGAUGGUUUGGUAUCCUUGUGCUUACAAGGAACAAAUCGAGGACAUUGCAGAUAUGACUCUCAAAUGUUCUCCAACAGACUCAAGAUGGUUUGGCAUCCUUGUGCUCACAAGGAACAAAUCGAAGACAUUGCAGAUAUGACUCUCAAAUGUUCUCAAAUAGACUUAAGAUGGUUUGGUAUCCUUGUGCUUACAAGGAACAAAUCAAGGACAUUGCAGAUAUGACUCUCAAAUGUUCUCCAACAGACUCAAGAUGGUUUGGCAUCCUUGUGCUUACAAGGAACAAAUCGAAGACAUUGCAGAUAUGACUCUCAAAUGUUCUCCAACAGACUCAAGAUGGUUUGGCAUCCUUGUGCUCACAAGGAACAAAUCGAAGACAUUGCAGAUAUGACUCUCAAAUGUUCUCAAAUAGACUUAAGAUGGUUUGGUAUCCUUGUGCUUACAAGGAACAAAUCAAGGACAUUGCAGAUAUGGCUCUCAAAUGUUCUCCAACAGACUCAAGAUGGUUUGGCAUCCUUGUGCUUACAAGGAACAAAUCGAAGACAUUGCAGAUAUAACUCUCAAAUGUUCUCAAAUAGACUCAAGAUGGUUUGGUAUCCUUGUGCUUACAAGGAACAAAUCGAGGACAUUGCAGAUAUGACUCUCAAAUAUUCUCAAACAGACUCAAGAUGAUUUGGCAUCUUUGUGCUUACAAGGAACAAAUCGAGGACAUUGCAGAUAUGACUCUCAAAUGUUCUCAAAUAGACUCAAGAUAAUUUAGCAUCCUUGUGCUUACAAGGAACAAAUCGAGGACGUAGUAGAUAUGACUCUCGAAUGUUCUCAAAACAGACUCAAACUGAUUUGGCAUCCCCACAAAUCGAAGAAGCAGAUUCGACAUCUCUAUGAUCGGCGGGGAGCAGAUCAAAGAUAUCAACAUAGUAGUCAUAAAAUUGAAUUCCAUUAUUUGAUAAAACCAGUCAAAUUGGGUCUUUCUAUGAGUCUUUGCUUGAUUCCUGUUACACAGCAAUAAGCAAAGAGGGGCAGCUGUAAUAACCCAAAUUUGACCGGGCCUUGAAACCCAAAACCAAAAUUAAAUAAUAAUAAAUAAAUGUUUAUUUGUUAAACAGACCCUUUACAGCCCAAAAGUUAAAACCUACACUUGGUAGCCCAAAUACCCUUUAAACUAUCCCUUAACCCGUUACACCCUUGACCCAUUACAAUUACAACCUUAGCCCAAAUAUACCCGAAGCCCAGACCUAAACUGGACCCGAAUAACAGAGGCCCAAAAAAACCCAAAAUAUUCAGCUAGGGUUUUCAACCCUAGCUCUUUCCCCUCGCGCCGCAACAGUUUCUGGAAGCUCCGGGGAGCGUCGGUGCAACUCCCAAGAUCGAGGCCAUCAAUGCAUACUGACGCACCAUCAAUGCGUCCGUCCCUCUCGUGACCGUCCAGCACCGCGAUCUCAGGCCUCCCCUCUAGCCUUGGUACCACCGUUAACGCCGAGGUCAUUGGGAUACCUGCAAGAAAAGGAAACACAGCAGAUACGAAGAGUAAGAAAAGGAAACUAAAAGAAUCUCAGCAGAUCGCAGUCAAAGACACAAAACAUAGAAAGAAAUCGAAGAUUUCUUUCCCAUUUUUUUUGUAAUAAACAACGGCUAUAAAAAGCCUUUGUAACCCUUGUAAGAGGGGGAUACGGAAAUAAAAAAAAGGAUACAAACAGUUUCAAAGGUGAUUCUUGUUUUUAUAUUUUUGCCUUUCAUUUCUCUAUUUUCAGUAUAGAAGCAUAUGAAUAUUUAUAUAUAUAUGUACACAAAAAUAACUUAAAAAUAAAAGAAAAGGGUUACCUGACGGAUGGCACGAAAAAGGAGAGGUUUUUCGAACCCUGGCUACCGUAUACGGUGGUCCUAGGGCGGCGCGUGGGCGCGUGGGCGAAGUGUGACCAACGGAGGCCAAAGCCCAGAGCUCCCUUCCUCUCUCUUUCUUUCAGAGAGAUUUUUUUUAGUUUUUUUUUAAAACGGGUUUCAAACGAACUAAAGGUUGAGGAAUUGGCUUUUAUAGCCUAGACAAAACGGCAUCGUUUUGUGACCCCAAGGAUCCGCGCGUUGACCCGAUUGCCCGGGUAGGAUCCGCGCUUUUUUGCAAAAUGGGUUAAUUUCCCA